UACGUAGGGUGCAAGCGUUAAUCGGAAUUACUGGGCGUAAAGCGUGCGCAGGCGGUUAUGUAAGACAGUUGUGAAAUCCCCCGGGCUCAACCUGGGAAUUGCAUCUGUGACUGCAUAGCUAGAGUACGGUAGAGGGGGAUGGAAUUCCGCGUGUAGCAGUGAAAUGCGUAGAUAUGCGGAGGAACACCGAUGGCGAAGGCAAUCCCCCUGGACCUGUACUGACGCUCAUGCACGAAAGCGUGGGGGAGCAAACAGG
RNAcentral lists this ribosomal RNA (256 nucleotides) under uncultured bacterium. Its description in RNAcentral is "partial 16S ribosomal RNA". It matches the Rfam family "Bacterial small subunit ribosomal RNA", at positions 524 to 776 of the family's 1533-position model. The record is from RNAcentral.